CUAGCUUCAGCGAUGGAUCGGUCGAUUCGCGUAUCGAUGAAAAACGCAGCAAGCUGCGUUAUUUACCACGAAUUGCAGACACUUAGAGUGGUAAAAUUUUGAACGCAUAGCGCCGUUGGGUUUUCCCUUCGGCACGUCUGGGCAGGGGUUGUU
RNAcentral lists this ribosomal RNA (153 nucleotides) under Poteriostomum imparidentatum. RNAcentral describes it as "5.8S ribosomal RNA". It matches the Rfam family "5.8S ribosomal RNA". From Rfam's summary of the family: 5.8S ribosomal RNA (5.8S rRNA) is a component of the large subunit of the eukaryotic ribosome. It is transcribed by RNA polymerase I as part of the 45S precursor that also contains 18S and 28S rRNA. The record is from RNAcentral. Lineage: Eukaryota; Metazoa; Nematoda; Chromadorea; Rhabditida; Strongylidae.